This 440-nucleotide ribosomal RNA is filed under the name uncultured bacterium. RNAcentral describes it as "bacterial SSU rRNA". It matches the Rfam family "Bacterial small subunit ribosomal RNA", at positions 338 to 795 of the family's 1533-position model. The record is from RNAcentral.
CCUACGGGUGGCAGCAGUGGGGAAUAUUGGACAAUGGGGGAAACCCUGAUCCAGCAAUGCCGCGUGAGUGAAGAAGGCCUUAGGGUUGUAAAACUCUUUCACCGGGGAAGAUGAUGACGGUACCCGGAGAAGAAGCCCCGGCUAACUCCGUGCCAGCAGCCGCGGUAAUACGGAGGGGGCUAGCGUUGUUCGGAAUUACUGGGCGUAAAGCGCACGUAGGCGGUUUUCCAAGUCAGAUGUGAAAUCCCCGGGCUUAACCUGGGAACUGCAUUUGAUACUGGUUGACUAGAGGCCGGGAGAGGGUAGUGGAAUUCCCAGUGUAGAGGUGAAAUUCGUAGAUAUUGGGAAGAACACCGGUGGCGAAGGCGGCUACCUGGACCGGUACUGACGCUGAGGUGCGAAAGCGUGGGGAGCAAACAGGAUUAGAUACCCGAGUAGUC